AGCUUUGCGCAGUGGCAGUAUCAUAGCCAAUGAAAUUUAUCCGAGGCAUGAUUAUUGCUAAUUGAAAGUUCACCUGUUUAAACGUGCACAAUUCAAUGG
This 99-nucleotide small nuclear RNA is filed under the name Canis lupus dingo (dingo). Its description in RNAcentral is "U4 spliceosomal RNA (ENSCAFG00020000413.1)". The stretch from base 1 to 75 matches the Rfam family "U4 spliceosomal RNA". Rfam says of the family: U4 small nuclear RNA (U4 snRNA) is a component of the major U2-dependent spliceosome. The structure of U4 snRNA from yeast and human has been reported. Lineage: Eukaryota; Metazoa; Chordata; Mammalia; Carnivora; Canidae. The record is from RNAcentral.